CGGACGGGUGAGUAAUGUCUGGAAAACUGCCCGAUGGAGGGGGAUAACUACUGGAAACGGUAGCUAAUACCGCAUAACGUCGCAAGACCAAAGAGGGGGACCUUCGGGCCUCUUGCCAUCGGAUGUGCCCAGAUGGGAUUAGCUAGUAGGUGGGGUAACGGCUCACCUAGGCGACGAUCCCUAGCUGGUCUGAGAGGAUGACCAGCCACACUGGAACUGAGACACGGUCCAG
RNAcentral lists this ribosomal RNA (232 nucleotides) under uncultured bacterium. Its description in RNAcentral is "partial 16S ribosomal RNA". It matches the Rfam family "Bacterial small subunit ribosomal RNA", at positions 99 to 334 of the family's 1533-position model. The record is from RNAcentral.